This 1226-nucleotide long non-coding RNA is filed under the name Anas platyrhynchos platyrhynchos (common mallard). Its description in RNAcentral is "lncRNA (ENSAPLG00000023886.1)". Lineage: Eukaryota; Metazoa; Chordata; Aves; Anseriformes; Anatidae. The record is from RNAcentral.
AAGAAAGAGUUUGGCAUGCUGCAACCAUUUGCAAAAACUACCACCCACCUUGCAUAAAGCUGGAUAGAGCAUUAAAAGUGAGGGCAAGGGAAAUGAACAUUUUGCACUGCAACCAGGCUGCUAGGAAAGCAGCUUUAUUUUAAAUUCCCUAUACCAACAGAAAGGUGACUAUACUAUCAAAGACAUUUCCUAAAAUAGCACCAAGGCACAAUUUUGAUAAGAAACACAGAAAAAAAACAGGUAAUUUAAAAUAAAAUUAAAGGUAAAUUUAUUCAUAAAUACACAGACAAAUGUGAUUUUCCUUGUGGAUGUACUUACUGAAUAUGAUCAUCAGUUCUUAAUACUAUUGUUUUGAGAAUUUUUUCAAUGACUGUCAGAAUUAGUACUUCUCAGUCUCUGAAACUGAAAAAAAAUAUAUUAAGCUUUAGCUGUCAAGCUUUGUAACUUAGUGCACAGAAUACAAAUCACUAUCACCAAAGGAGUGGGGAGAAAAAAAAAAAAGAAAAAAAAACAGCCUUAAUUAUUCAGAGAUUUAAUAUACUGAACUAUCAUUAACAUUCAGGACUCCAUCUUAAAGUAAUUAAAAUGCAGGAAGACUUAAGGGAGUGGAGGUCAUUGAGAAAAACACCUACACAGGUGCAUGAAGAAGGAGGCUGGCUGGAAGAGAGAAGCAAGACAUUAUAAAGAGGAAGACUAAUGCUUGUUGACUCACAGAAGGGUUUCUGGGAGCCCAGGCAGUUUCUGAGUUAUCGUGUGCCAGCAGAGCAGACCUAUUCUGUGAUGUUGAAAAGGCCUCCCUUGUACAGUCUCACCACCAAAGAAGAGUGCCAGUUACAAAGGAAAACUGCACCAUCACCCCUGGUCUUUCUCUCUUGGAGCAUCACAAGGACAUAUCAGCUUCCUACUGUUUUGUCAGUAUCUGCAUGUGAACUCACUGCCUCCAGAGGGAUGGAGAAUCAGCUAGAUCACACAAAGGGGCAAAAGAGAAGCAAAGCUGCUUACUCAAGGGCUCACAGCCAUCUGGGCAUGAAAUAUGUUCAGCUUAAUAAAUUCAGAUUGGUACCCCAUGCAGCAACCUGUCUUCGAGUGUAUGUGGGCAAACAAAAGGGUAUGUUUUUCUAUCAGUGCUGGCUUUGUGUACCAUGAAGGCUCAGCCCAUGUGUUGCUGAUACCACACGACAAAUGCUGUGCAGUGACUUCCAACCUCAGCCAAGCCAGGCAUGUCC